GGAUACAUAAACUGCUUGAAUAUAGGUUAUUGGGACCCUUUUCUGUUAGAACUAAUUCAUUCUUAUAAAGAAUCUAUUUUGGUACUAAGGGUUGCUGAUAAUCAGCAGAUGUUCACAUGACCUAUGUUGCUCGAACUCUUCAAAAAUAUCGAGAGUUGCAUGUCGGAUCUGACACGGUGCGGCAGCAUUUUUAAAGAGUCCGAGCAAAAUAUCACAUCAGACAGUUGUUUGUUGAGGAUGUUACAUCUGAACAAACCUGGACACCUGUACUUACAUUGCCGAAAAGAAUGGUUGAUUACUUCAAAUUCUGUAUAAAAAGAAAUAAAUAAACUGCUAAUCAUUACUUUUUACUUU
Molecule: long non-coding RNA, 354 nt
Filed under: Capsicum annuum
Lineage: Eukaryota; Viridiplantae; Streptophyta; Magnoliopsida; Solanales; Solanaceae
Description: long non-coding RNA (CANN_LNC005925)
Source: RNAcentral